AUGGGCUGGAAAGAGCGCCGCAGCGAUGGCGCGCGAGGCAACCACAGCGGGGGCGCGCGAGGCAACCGCAGCGGCGGCGCGCGAAGCAAUCGCGGUGCCGUUAUUUUGGGAGAUAAAACACAUUUUGGUGAUGCUUUGGAAUGGGAGAACAUGACAAGAGGAGGAGUAAAUCAUAACACAAGAGCUGCUAUUCUGGAACAUGAUAAAACACAUUUUGGUGAUGCUUCAGAAAGGGAGAACAUGACAAACAGUGGAGUAAAUCAUAACACAAGGCCUAAAGAUUUGCUAGUGGGCAGGAGGGCUGUUCCUCAUGAUCACAAUGAACAAAUCACAAGCGAAUCAGAUAUCGGCAGACGGUUCAAGGGCCUGGAAGAGAAGGGCAGUUCGAAACAUGCUGGCCAUUGCGCUGUGAAAGCUAUAGAAAUUCCUGGACAAACUUGUGAUAGAAGAGCCGUCAUUUUGGAAGAUAAAACACAUUUUGGUGAUGCUUCGGAAUGGGAGAACAUGACAAGAGGAGGAGUAAAUCAUAACACAAGAGCUGCUAUUCGGGAACAUGAUAAAACACAUUUUGGUGAUGCUUCAGAAAGGGAAAACAUGACAAACAGAGUAAAUCAUAACACAAGGCCUAAUGAUUUGCUAGCGGGCAGCAGGGCUGGUUCUCAUGAUCACUAUGACAUUUGUAGUAAACAAAUCGCAAAAGAAUCAGAUAUUGGCAAACGGUUCAAGAGCUUGGAAGAGAAGGGAAAUUCGAAAUCUGCUGGGCAUUUCUAUGUGAUGGAUAUAGACAUUGAAGGACAAACUUGUGAUAGAAGGUGCCGUUGCGUUGAUGCAGCUCUUGAUCGACGCUAUUUUGAUCAACCAUUUGCCUGCAUUCAUUGCCAUGGGAGUGUUAUUCAAUCACUUGUGGACUAUAUUGAGUGGAAUCCCAUCACCGAGGCAUUUGUGCCACCUGGGGAUGCAUACGGGGAUGUUUUUGUGGAUGCUGGGAUCAACAUACGUGUCAUCCUGUGA
This 1011-nucleotide ribosomal RNA is filed under the name Triticum aestivum (bread wheat). Its description in RNAcentral is "partial small subunit ribosomal RNA". The record is from RNAcentral. Lineage: Eukaryota; Viridiplantae; Streptophyta; Magnoliopsida; Poales; Poaceae.